RNAcentral lists this unclassified non-coding RNA (425 nucleotides) under soil metagenome. RNAcentral describes it as "partial contains 5.8S ribosomal RNA, internal transcribed spacer 2, and large subunit ribosomal RNA". The stretch from base 1 to 120 matches the Rfam family "5.8S ribosomal RNA", at positions 35 to 154 of the family's 154-position model. The record is from RNAcentral.
GAUGAAGAACGCAGCGAAAUGCGAUAAGUAGUGUGAAUUGCAGAAUUCCGUGAAUCAUCGAAUCUUUGAACGCACAUUGCGCCUUCUGGUAUUCCGGAAGGCAUGCCUGUUCGAGAGUCAUUAACAACCGUUUCGAUCCCUUUCUUUCAGAAAUUACAGAGAGGAAAAGGGUUUGGUUAUGGUGGAGGAGGGAAAGGGAGCGUUUAGCCUGUAAAAAAAGAGGCUGUGUUCCGCCUCCCCCCCAAAAUUGUACAGGCGGUCGUGUGCGCCCACGCAUCGAGGUGUUGUAAAAGCUGCCACGGCACUUUUCACCUGUGCAGUGCGAGAUUGGCCAGCCGGUUUAAAAACCCCUCCAAACAAUCAAAGGUUGACCUCGGAUCAGGUAGGGAUACCCGCUGAACUUAAGCAUAUCAAUAAGCGGAGGA